GAAAUGCGAUAAUUAAUGUGAAUUGCAGAAUUCAGUGAAUCAUCGAGUCUUUGAACGCACAUUGCGCCCCCUGGUAUUCCGGGGGGCAUGCCUGUCCGAGCGUCAUUGCUGCCCUCAAGCACGGCUUGUGUGUUGGGCUUCCGUCCCUGGUAACGGGGACGGGCCCAAAAGGCAGUGGCGGCACCAUGUCUGGUCCUCGAGCGUAUGGGGCUUUGUCACCCGCUCCCGUAGGUCCAGCUGGCAGCUAGCCUCGCAACCAAUCUUUUUAACCAGGUUGACCUCGGAUCAGGUAGGGAUACCCGCUGAACUUAAGC
This 314-nucleotide unclassified non-coding RNA is filed under the name plant metagenome. Its description in RNAcentral is "partial contains 5.8S ribosomal RNA, internal transcribed spacer 2, and large subunit ribosomal RNA". The stretch from base 1 to 105 matches the Rfam family "5.8S ribosomal RNA", at positions 50 to 154 of the family's 154-position model. The record is from RNAcentral.